CUUACCUCGUGGCAUCAGGAUACUCCCCCUUUCUGUGAUUGGCUGUGCUUCUUUUGGCCCAGUGCGCAUGACGACCUCCGGCGCACCAAAUAAGGGCAUGUGCCCUUCCGGGAUUAGCUUCUUUUGGCCCAGUGCGCAUGACGGCUUUGGCCUGCUUCUUCCGCUUCCGGUCCCCAGCUAUAAAGCCCCACCAAAACCGAAAGUAAACGAGACCUGCGAUAGCCGAAGGAAGAGUGCACGUGUCUCCCUCCGGUGUACCCCUGUUCUUCAGGUCGCUGCUCUCCCCUCGAGAACCUCGUUGGACAGUCCGCGGGCUCGGACAGGUGGCGCCCAACGUGGCGCUCGAGGUAUGAGAGAUUUACAGUAGACCCAGACGCAGCGCGCGGCGCGAGUUACUCAGGACCCGACCCAUUCGGCGGGACAGUCAUUAGGAUGCCUGUGGCCACCUGGAUUCUCCUGGUUUUUCAACAGUACCCUGUCGCCCGUGUCUUAGCCGGCCUCGGACCACCCGCCUCUCUCGCAUCCGCGUCUUCUUCCUUGGAUUCGCCCUGCAACUGCAAGGCAUUACCUCUGCCCUGGCCACGGGUGCCUCCGGUUUGGCCAUCUCCAUUUCCAGGAACUUGCAACCAACCCCUUAUGGACUUGCCUUAAUGGACUUUUACUGUAUUUGCUUCCCCUGUUGGGUCCCCCCUGUUAUCUCUUUUAUUGUUACUUGCUAUAGGUCCUUGUGUUUUAAACAAAAUUGUUGGGUUUGUAAGGCAACAAAUACAGUCCCUUCAGGCGAGACCUAUCCAGGUGCACUAUCACCGCCUGGAAAUGCUGGAAAGCGGGGGCGCAUAUACGGAUCUCCGGUCGCCGUCUGCGCCUGGCCAGUAGGUAGCACAGCCUACAUGCUAUGGGAGUCCCACCGUCCUGACCUUUGGCAGCCUUUUAACUUCAGUCAUUAUCCAGCUUCCUGGCUGGGCCCCCUUGAGGAUGCUGGAAUGGAUAGCCAAUGACGGGUAAGAUGGAAUGCGGGACAAGACCAACCUAAGACAGCCCCCGCUCCCUUUCCAUCUAGGACUGUCGGGUGAUGACGGGUAAGGCUCGUCCCUGCAAUUCACAACCUAAGACAGGCACAUUCCUCCUCACUAAUAAAGAGAAAAGGGGGAUCUGUUGGCGCCUUACCUCGUGGCAUCAGGAUACUCCCCCUUUCUGUGAUUGGCUGUGCUUCUUUUGGCCCAGUGCGCAUGACGACCUCCGGCGCACCAAAUAAGGGCAUGUGCCCUUCCGGGAUUAGCUUCUUUUGGCCCAGUGCGCAUGACGGCUUUGGCCUGCUUCUUCCGCUUCCGGUCCCCAGCUAUAAAGCCCCACCAAAACCGAAAGUAAACGAGACCUGCGGUAGUUGAACGAAGAGUGCACGUGUCUCCCUCCGGUGUACCCCUGUUCUUCAGGUCGCUGCUCUCCCCUCGAGAACCUCGUUGAACAGUCCGCGGGCUCGGACAGAAAUGUAGCUUUUAGUAAAUGGAGAGACACCAACAAGACAAGUCACAUUAUGACAAAGUAAGUCACUUUGUCAAAAUGACGUGGAGGACAAUGCUAUGGAGUUACCCAGAAUGGAGAGAUUCACCCAAUCCAGAGUCAGGGAAUGCUGCACUGAAAAAUUGACACUUAGAAGAGUAUUUUAUCAAAAAAAAGAAAAAGUCUGGAACUAAUAUCUUUUAGUUAAUUCUAAAAAGCAAAUACUACAGAAAUAAAAUUGAAAGUUUUCCUGAGGAACUGUGCACAGACUAUAUAAAAGAACUUCUGAACCAUGAGGUGAACUUCUGAGGCCUGAGGUUGUUCUCACAGCACACACCAUUUUGUUCUUUUUAGAACUAUCAUGUGUUUGUUCUGUUAGAGCCGUAGCUUCAGAUUGUGGUACAUGAGGUGAGAAUGGGGUUUCCUCAAGUGGACAAAUGCCCCCAGAAAGUCAUCUUGGGAAAUUAUCAGGCCUGGGAUUUUAAAAAAAAAAGGAUUUUGUAAACAGCUUAGAAAAACAUUCUUCUUUGGGGGCAAGAUCUCAGGUAAAGAGACUCCUAGAGCUUUUCUGAUGCUGGGGUGAGUGUAAGAGGCGCUGAGUGAAACAGGCACAGGCAUAGGGGUUUCCAUAUGGUCAGGAGAGGGGAGAACUUAGGAGACCCUAAAACAGAUUUGCUCAUGGUCAGAAGUGUAACUUCCUGUCUCUCAUUUCCCUUCUAUUUUCCUCAACUCUCACUGAAGUGUGAUUGGAAGGUACAGCUUUGUUCCUGUGCUGUGGGUGAUUGGGAGAGGACCAGCACAUGUGUGCAGCCCACCAACAAAGAAGAGAGUGGUGUCCCUUGCUAUCACUAGGAAGGGGCCAACAGGCCAGGCUAAGGAGCAGAGGACGUGGAGUGGGAAGAAGAGUUUCAGGCAGCACCGCAGUUGAUUUGCUGUCAUUCUUUCCUGUCUGAAGUGUUAGUGAAACUAAGAUAGUAAGCCCUGGUCACUGGCCUACCUUGCUGAUCUCAGUAAGUUGCAAGGCAAAAUUUUGUGGUGCAACUGGAAAUUUUCCAUGAGCGUUUCUUACCAGGAAACACAUCAUUGACUCUGUCUGUUAUGGUCAGCACCUGUGCUGUAACAUAAUGCUGUUACAUCAUGCUUCAGAAACAAACAAGCCAAGAAUCUCAGGAGCAGAAAUCAAGAUGUUUAUACUAAUAUUUAAUGCAAGUAGCCUCUGCUCAAAGUCAUCCUCUUUCCUGGACUUGGGCUGAAGGAGCAGCCACCAUGGGAAGUGUGGCCAGUCACUGUGGCAGAGGCAGAGUGUGGAAAUUCUACUGGGUCUUACAGCUUCCACACAGAAGUGACAAGGGUGAUGUCUGCUUACCUGAAGCAAAUUCACACACAGGGAAAGACAAGGCAGUUAAGAUGUGUGUGCUCCUCCUGAUGAUUCCCACACACCCUAUAUGUUCCCCAGAUGAUCCCUUGAAUCCCUUGCUGAAGAGUAAGUUGUUUUAGUCUAGUACACCAUGACCAAAUUUAAAAUGUACUGAACAGACCGCGUUUGCUUUCCAGACAAGAAUACUUCUGUCAGGAGGGCUUGGUUGGAGAUAGAGAAUAGAGGGACAAAAGAUUAAGUGGAGAGUAGAUGAUGAGUGAAACAGAAGAAAAUAGAGAAAUCGGAGAGAAGGAGAAUCACGACACGAAGAUCCGCCAUCUUGUCAAUGAAAUGGCUUUGGCGUAACUUGCAACUCCUUUGACUUUCCAUAGGACUUUCUCUAGGUCCUGACUACUUAAAUACAAGAAAGAUCCCCAGGGAAGAGGAAGCAACUACCUCUCAGGUGGAGUCCCCAGAGAAUUUCCUUCACCAAUGCACCCGUGCACCAUCACCACAGUCCUCUGUGCUCCGCCCACCCUCCCUCUGAUCCCUCUUCAUCCUCUUCAGGAUCUUUAGUUUAAAGUAUCGCCAUCCAUUCUGUCACACCCUGCUCUUCUCAAAAAUUUACAAAGAAGGAAUUGGACGGCACAGCAGACUGGCACGGUGUCCGGCGUAGACAUUUUCAAGCCUGGUGCAGACCUGCUCAGAGAAGCUCCUCGGUGAAUCCAAGGUUGGGGAACAGGUUUGUCUGUGGAAGAAAACAUAAGGCGCUAGAAACCUGAGACAAAGAGUUUACCCAUGGGAAGGAGAAAAUACAGAAAGUGUACUGAGGUGCCAUGAUCAGUGCCUUCUUCAGUUUUCCUAAGAAGAGAAGACAAUUGUAGUGCCAUUUCCUGAAAAUGCUGGGUUUUCCAAAAAUUUCAACUGUAUUACCUAUUAUAAUGAGGGACAGAAGAAAUGUAUGUUGCUCCAUUUUUAACAUGUGUGGUGGAAACAAGUCCAACUGUUUCACUUGCCUCCACAAACCUCUCUGCUAUAUAGGUCAGUCUUAGACAUUUAGUAGAGUUUUAUACUUCAACCAGAAUAAUUUCUAAGGCUGAUGUAACCAAAGUAAGUAAAUAAUAAAUGUUCUCCUUCAGUUGAUAUUACCUGGGGAUAAUGUGAGUCAUGGCAUAGUUUCUCUGGGCAUUUGAAGUAUGAUUUUAACCAAGCUUGUUUCAGGGGCUCUAGGAGCUGUGCAUGCAGCUCUGGGAGUAAAUGAGGAGUCUGUCAUUGAAACUCCCUGGAAAUGUCCUCAUUAGUAACAUAAAUUAGCAAACAUAAUACUGAUGCUUCUGUUUCAAUUCCAGGUGGGGCACACAUGUCAUUCCAGUAAAUCAUUUCAUGCAGACCCUCUGCUAAGGCUUCUAGCUGGGAUUUUCAUUCAGAAACACUAAGGAGAAAUAAUUUAGUUAAGAGUCUAGUUUUUAGGUUUCCUUGGGCAGACUGUAAUAAAAUUUUAUUACCACCAUCAACACGAGCCACAGAGGAUAUAACAGGACUUGAGUUCAAAUCACAGACUAUUUCUGAUUGUGGGUGCCCACAUUGUGCAUACUCAGGACUCCCCUCACUGUUGACAAAACUGACCUUGGGAAAUAAAGAGCUUGUCUUAAGUUCUGGCUUUCCCAUCUAGUGAUUCAUCCAACAAACACAUAUUAAGCACUCGUUUGAUGCUAAGCAUCAUUCUAGAUGUCAGGAACCCUGCAGACAACAAAACAGUUCCUACCUCAUGGGUCUUAGUUUAUUAGGCAGAUAUAAUGCACAAACACUAAGUAUAUAACAUGAUACUGGGUAACUGUAAGUGCUAUGAUGAAGGAUAAAAAAGGAUAAAGGGGUGACACUAAUAUUUUCAGUAGGGUUCUCAAGGGGAGAGGUGUCUUUGAGAAAGAGGGUGGAUGAAUUAAUGAGUCAGAUUUAAACCUUGGAACCCACUCCUGUAAAUAAAAGACAUCAAGAGGGGAAGUCCUGGUAAGAUUGUCUCAUAUGACUUCAUGAGCCUUCUGAUAAGGUCCUCAGAGACUUAGAGGUGGCUGCUACUAUCACAGGUUCAGAUGACUGUUAGUACUGUCAUCUCAUUGAGGUGCAAUGAGAUAGGAAGAGAAACCUGUGCUCUGUGUUCGGCAAUAGUAAAAUUCCCAGAAGGAGGAGAUUGUGGUGAAGAGAAACAGUGAUCUUUAGGCAUUCUAGCCACCCAAGAAAGUCAAGUCAAGACCAAGUAUACAGCUGGAGGACUGGAAAGGAAGACCAGCAUAGAGAGUACCACACAUUGGACCCCAUCUUAUUUCUCCUUAACUAAGUGUACCUUUCUCAGUCCACUAUUUAUAUCCUCUGCAGCCUCCGAAAGCACACCUGUGGUGAGAACGCGCACUUAGACAUUAUUCUGGUUUGUCAACACCAGAAUGUAGAGCAGAAGUGCCCCCCUAAAAGCAGGCCUUCAGGGAUCUGCUCAACUGAAACCAACAGCAGAUUAAGUUUCAUGGAAGCAAAGAAUUCUCAAAUCGAAGAUGAGAAGUGUAUGCAUCUGAAUAAGGGGAAGACGGGCUGCUUAUGUGGCGAGCAAAGAAGCCACUGUACAAACUGAGCCCCAAAGAAGCCACUGUACAAACUGAGCAAAUUAGGUGUUUGUCUGCAGCUAUGACAAUGGAAUAAAUGGCCACAGUCAAAGUCAUAAUGAAGGAAAGAAAGGACCUAUGAUCAAAGUUGAUCUAGAUGAUGACAUAACUGCCCUAACCAGGACAUUGGCAUAUGCUGAGGUAACUAUAACCCAGAAUACUAUCAGUCAAGAGAGAGUCAGGGAGGGGCAGAUUAGAAGCACCGUAGAUUGUUGCCAAGGAUAUUUUUUCAAUUCUUAGUCUCUAAAAGCCAGAGAUGAAAAAUAUGUAGCCAAACAGUAGCUGGUCCCAAACACAGAAGCCAUAGAUCUCCUGAUAUGUACUAAAUGACCUGCCCUUGCUGCCCUCAGCAGAGACAGUAAGGAGAGCAUCAAAAGAACACAAGAAACAGAGACUUCAAAACCAACACCAAGGUACUCAUGGUGGAAAGCAGACCACAUCUGUCUGUAAAAUUCUAUCACCUGAACAGAGCCAGUUCUGAGAUCAGUUUCUGAAGCACAACUUCCCUUAAACCAGGAAAAAAGAUCAGAGUGCUCAGUAUCCCAAGUCAAGCAGCUAUCCCCUCCUUAAUAAGCAGGCUUAAUGGAAAAGACAGGGCCUGAAACUUUUCCAUUUGGGUGAAAAGCAAAACAAGUCUGCAAAGGAGAAAAUGAAGCUGUAAGUCAAAGGAAAGCAGGGCAGAUGCAGUCAGAGGGCACCACAAUCAGGGACCAUAUUCCCCUAGAAUAGAACACCCUAAAGUAGAACACCCUGAGAACACGUCUGAAGACCAGGGAACAGGGUGGCAGUUUUCCUAGAGGGUCCUUUCUGGCAGUUCAAAGAUUAGUCAUAGCUUUUGCUAUUGGAUCACCAGUUGGUAUAGUUGCUAAAUUUAAAGACUGUCUCACAUAUAAUCAUGCUUGUCUGGAUCCAAAGUUGAGAAAUGGCAUGGCAUCAGAACUCAGCUAUCACAAACAUCCCUUGGAUAAAUCAGUCUGGGAACACUCAAAAAUACAUGGCUAAGUGUACAUCCCACCUGAGAGUCUGAAUUAGUUGGUUUAUCCUUUUCCAGAAAUUUGGAUAAAGAAACAUGGUUAUACCUUGCUUUAAAGGCUGAGUCUCAGUUUUAUGAAUUUACCAAAACAAAGAUUUACAAAGGAAGGUGACAGAUUGAUCUUUUUUAGUCCCUUAUUUAAGACUUUGUGGGAGAACCCUGACUAAUAUACUUAGGUCCUGUCACUUUUACUUUUUCCAGUUGCUUCUCCCCUACUCCUGACCUUUUUAUUUCCUCACCUGCCCAGAAGCCCUAUUCUUCCCUUUUGUGUUCAGGGCCUGGCAUGUAAUAGAAGUUCCUCCCACGCCACCAAAUAUGUAAUGCUACUGCUAAUUGAGGUGCAGUUUGGAAAACAGGGUAUUAUUUGUUAUUCUUAAUCCAAGUUUUGUAAUUAUCACAGUUGCUAUUUAGAACAUGGUGGACUCACCAGUCGCCUUAAGCCUCACCUCUGAGUGAUCUGUGUCUAAUCACCGAAUGGAGUGUCCACGUUGUAAAUGUCACCCCGCUCCACUGCUCAGAUAUAUGCCCUCAUUAAGGUCAAGGAGAAGAUAUUUAAAUAUCAGGGUUGAGCUCCUGAGCAAUCAUGUCAUUUCUAUUGAUCACCUAAUGAAAAUUUAUGGCAUUUAACAGUGAAGAGAUAUGUUUACAUGGGAUGCCGGUUUCCACCACUGUGCUCACACCACUUCGGGGAAGCCUUUUACCAGACUUGUUCUAAGAAUGCAUUUACCUUUCUCCUAAUCACAGAAAGCACGCUAGGACUGAGGAGAGCUGGGGCACUUUAGAAUUGCAAUUGCAUUUCCAAGUGAUAAAAAUGAAAUGAGACUGCUAAGCAUCAUGAAAAGCUAGAAAGUUGAAAUGCAGAAGUCAAAGCAAAAGGAAGAAGAAAUCUUUGUUUAAUCCAUUUGGGUAGAUCGUGCCUCUGAUAAUUGACCGGUGUCAUACUGAUGUGAUAUUUAACAGCAACUACAAAGCCCAAAUAGAGAGGAUAAAUAUGAGCAUAGAAAUAGUCACACAGUGAUAAACUAUUAACACCUUAACAAGAAGCAGGAAAGCAUAGCACAUAUUUGAAAUGAGUGAGAAGGAUGUCACCUGCAGAAUCUAAUUUAUAGUCACAAGAGGAAAUAAAAAUUCCUAAGAAGCCACAGCAACUGUUCCAGGCACAGUGAUCAUGGACACUGCUUCUGGCAACUGCAACCUUACAUUAAUUUGUUUUCCUAUUCAUUUUAAAAUAAUUGUGAGGAGGCACAGGGAAAUGGUAUUACAUACACACACACACACACACACACCCCACUCCCCCAGAGACCUGAGAGCCCUAAAGUCCACAGAGAGCCAUGCAGGCAGGUCACCUUCUCCAAAGUCUUCCCUGAACUUUCUUAUCUAAAUGGACAGUGCACCCCAAAGUGACUCUCCAGCCCCUUCUUCUACUUGGUUGUCCCCACAGAGUGCUGCCUCUGUCAUUGACCUGUCUGCCAUGACACCUGGAGCAGAACUUAUUUUGUCUGCCCCAGCUUCCUCUUUUGACAAAUGGAUAUGUUAAUAGUGCUGACUUCAUAGGAUUGUUGGGAGGAUUAAAUAAGUUACUAUUUGUCAAAUUGCAUUUUUGUGAAAUAA
Long non-coding RNA from Talpa occidentalis (Iberian mole), 8152 nucleotides. RefSeq lists it as uncharacterized. NCBI's taxonomy places the organism in Eukaryota, Metazoa, Chordata, Mammalia, Eulipotyphla, Talpidae. The transcript is spliced from 6 exons. The record is from RefSeq and is a predicted model, not a curated record.